Molecule: long non-coding RNA, 350 nt
Organism: Scomber japonicus (chub mackerel)
Lineage: Eukaryota; Metazoa; Chordata; Actinopteri; Scombriformes; Scombridae
Exons: 3
Source: RefSeq, a predicted model, not a curated record
AGUGAAGGCUGUGGGAAUUGUAAUGCUUGUCAGUACAAUGGUCAUCUUUGAGUGUUGGUUUAGAACAAGACGCUCCACCAAACCAGUGAAGAAAAUGUCAGCAGGGUGUUUGAGUUGUCAUCAUGAGCCACAAGGAGAGGAUGACAACAUGUUCACUAUCAGUGGAAUUACAUGAUAUCCAUUAUUGUCUAUUCUGUAUUAUAUGCUUAUUCCUUAUUUACAUGUGUUAGUGUGCCAUUUACAAGAAGGCAGAUCACUGCUUCCUCCAGGCAAAUAUUUAAUGUUGUUAGUUUGUAUAAGUGUGGAAAGAUGAACAGGAUGACCCAAGACUUCAUCAGCAUGUUGCGGUA